UACGGAGGGAGCUAGCGUUAUUCGGAAUCACUGGGCGUAAAGCGCACGUAGGCGGAUCAUUAAGUCAGAGGUGAAAGCCUGGAGCUCAACUCCAGAACUGCCUUUGAUACUGAUGAUCUAGAGUUCGGAAGAGGUUGGUGGAACAGCUAGUGUAGAGGUGAAAUUCGUAGAUAUUAGCUAGAACACCAGUGGCGAAGGCGGCCAGCUGGUCCGAUACUGACGCUGAGGUGCGAAAGCGUGGGGAGCAAACAGG
This 253-nucleotide ribosomal RNA is filed under the name uncultured bacterium. Its description in RNAcentral is "partial 16S ribosomal RNA". It matches the Rfam family "Bacterial small subunit ribosomal RNA", at positions 524 to 776 of the family's 1533-position model. The record is from RNAcentral.